This 73-nucleotide transfer RNA is filed under the name Chryseobacterium sp. JJR-5R. RNAcentral describes it as "tRNA-Asp". It matches the Rfam family "tRNA". From Rfam's summary of the family: Transfer RNA (tRNA) molecules are approximately 80 nucleotides in length. The record is from RNAcentral. Lineage: Bacteria; Pseudomonadati; Bacteroidota; Flavobacteriia; Flavobacteriales; Weeksellaceae.
GAAGCGUUAGUUCAGCAGGAAGAAUGCCGCCCUGUCACGGCGGAGGCCGCAGGUUCGAGUCCUGCACGCUUCC